This 254-nucleotide ribosomal RNA is filed under the name Cylindrospermopsis raciborskii C03. Its description in RNAcentral is "partial 23S ribosomal RNA". It matches the Rfam family "Bacterial large subunit ribosomal RNA", at positions 2675 to 2925 of the family's 2925-position model. The record is from RNAcentral. Lineage: Bacteria; Bacillati; Cyanobacteriota; Cyanophyceae; Nostocales; Aphanizomenonaceae.
UCCUUAGUACGAGAGGACCGGGAGGAACGAACCGCUGGUGUACCAGUUAUUCCGCCAGGAGUAGACGCUGGGUAGCCAAGUUCGGAGAGGAUAACCGCUGAAAGCAUCUAAGUGGGAAGCCCACCUUAAGAUGAGUGUUCUCACUACGAGAGUAGGUAAGGUCACGGGAAGAACACCCGUUGAUAGGCUUUAUGUGGAAGUACAGUAAUGUAUGUAGCAGAGAAGUCCUAACAGACCGAGGGCUUGACCUCAAA